Molecule: long non-coding RNA, 2415 nt
Organism: Erpetoichthys calabaricus (reedfish)
Lineage: Eukaryota; Metazoa; Chordata; Cladistia; Polypteriformes; Polypteridae
Exons: 7
Source: RefSeq, a predicted model, not a curated record
UUCUGAACAGGCUAGAGGUGGGACGAGAGGGGCUAGCCGUGGUGGCUGCUAUGGUGGAGCACUGGAGGAUGCAUAUCUGAUAUCACUUUAGCUUCUUGGAAUGUCUGAGGCUUCAACCUGAACGUAGAAGAAUCAAAUAUCCACGAUUACUUGUGGCCCUGGAAGGCUGACAUACCCUGUCCUAGCUUUUUAAAGCAGAUGACUUCUCUUACAAUCAGUCCUGUGAGCGUGGAAUGGCCAGCUGACUCUGAUGUAGAGUAUAUUUUGUACUAAGUGCAGUGACACAAUGACAUUCCUACAUGCUUAUCUCCUUAAAAAAUUUACUUUCAAUGGAUGAUUAUGUAAAGUCACUCCCAGCUCUUAAGAGGGAGGAGGAAUGGUGAGAAUAAACCUUCACCAGUAUGUGAAUUGGCAGUAUGGAGUAUGUGAAUUUCCCCUUGGGAUUAAUAAAGUAUCUAUCUACCAGAAUGUGUGCUGAUUGAGAUCUACUUCAUCCUGACAGUAAAACAGGUGGAAGUUCACCAGUCAUUAUAGUACUGUGGGCUCAGUGUUCAAUUGUUAACUUGAACUUUCCAAUGCAACUUGUCAGACUAAUAACCUUAGACAAAGAAAGCCUAAUUAAUAACAGACUUAUCUCUAAUCUCAAACACCAUUUCUGAAUAUCAGAGGCUGGGCCUUGAAGUGCAUCAUAGGAUGGACCAGACUCACUAAAACAGAAAAUGGAAGGAAUGAAUUGUGACUUUUUUACUUCACGGGAUCUCGGUGCACCAAUGACACCGCUUACAAAGGUCCAAGUGGAGGAGGAGAGAAUGACCUACCAGCGGACGCAAGUCAGUUUCUGCUUCUGAACACCUUUUGAUAUACAAGGAAUGCAAGCGUUAAGCUGAAGUGGCCAUUCUAAAUUAACCCUGUUUGUGUAAGUGAGACCAGAGAUGGGCUGUUGCCAGGAAGGGCCUUGGUUCCUGAGACCCUAAACUGAUCAAACUGGUUUCACAAUGGUCCAGGGGGAGAUCAAAGACACCCGCCAACAACUCUUCAAAAUGAAGCACGAUUACAAGAUUUUACGCAAGAAAUGUUAGUUAUGUUGCAAAAUGUAACACGUCACAAUAAUGAUUUGUUAAAUUCAAUUCAACAAACCUUAAAUCAGCUCAACCAGCUGAAUAAUGACAAACACAAAUCAGCAGAUUUAUGACUGACUAAGUGAUAUGGAGGAUAUCAUUUCAUCAUAUGUGGACCUAAAACUCAUUGUAAGCAUAACAUUUGUGCUGAAGAUGUGAGAUGAGCCUUUGCAAAACCAAAUUGGCCAAAUGGCCAUCAGCUGUUGCCAUCAGAUCAUUCGUCCUCUGUUUGUCACUUGUGGUGACGUUAAGCUUGAACAGUAUGGACACAGGCCAAACCUGUAAAGUCCAUCCAGAGAGUGACUGGAUAGGCUGGCAUGCCUGAGACAUCUUUAACUUUAUUCUUGAAUACAUCUGUAGAGAUGUACUGCGAGGUGAAUCUUGAUUACGCCGUGUACUUGUAUUCCAGUACAGCCCAACACUGGCUGUUAGCUGUCAACAAUGCAGCCUUUCUCAGCCGCAGUACAAGUGUUUCAGUAGUAUGAAGCGCAAUAUCAUCACUAUAUGCGAAAUAUAGACAAACUAAGAUUUUUGGAUUGGGCAAUUGAGUUUCAAACCCAAGUUUAUCAUAAAAGAAGAGGUCUGCUUCUUAAUUUAAGCGCUGAAUGACCAUGGUAUCAGCAGGAUUUUGGAAAUUAAAGGAAAAAUAAGUAAGAAAAACAGAAGAGUAAACACACCUUUUGGACCACCGGCAGACGCUCAAUAACAAUGGCAUUCUUUCCAGCCCCACCUGAUGACUUCACUUCCGACUUCAAGUUUUUCAUGUCAUUUCCGCCAUUCAGUUGUUUCCCCAUGUGGCGGACAGCCCGGUCCCAUGCCCAGCAGGGACGCCCCUGCUGCAUCUGUUCCGGGGGAGCAGCCAUGGACAGCUCAAUACCUCCCCUGGGAUGCUUGGUGGCAGCCUCCCAGGCGGACGGUGAUCCCCCAACCUGUCGCAUGGCUCCAUGGGAGAUGGAGUCCUCCACAGCCUGGUUGGGGGCUCGGAUGGCCACUAGGGGGAGCUGCAUGGAGUCAGCAGCCCGGCUGGACGAAUCUUCAGCUCCACCUGGAAGUGCAAUUAGGACCAGGUGGUGAAGCACCUGGAAUGCUUCCGGGUGGACUAUGAAAAGGGCCACCACUCGGGGCCAGAGUCAGGAGGAGGAGUGGUGGUAAAAGGUGAGUGUACUGGUGCUUAAUAGUGCUUGUGGACCGUGUAUUGCCAGUGGGUCACGGGGAAGACGUGCGCCCACGGGUGAAGAAAAUAAAAGUCUUUGUUUAUUUGGUACGUGCCUCUGUGUCGGGUCAGGUGCCUAUAUAG